Molecule: RNase P RNA, 329 nt
Filed under: Bdellovibrionales bacterium
Lineage: Bacteria; Pseudomonadati; Bdellovibrionota; Bdellovibrionia; Bdellovibrionales
Description: RNase P RNA component class A
Rfam family: Bacterial RNase P class A
About the family: Ribonuclease P (RNase P) is a ubiquitous endoribonuclease, found in archaea, bacteria and eukarya as well as chloroplasts and mitochondria. Its best characterised activity is the generation of mature 5'-ends of tRNAs by cleaving the 5'-leader elements of precursor-tRNAs.
Source: RNAcentral
GAAGUAGGUUAGGUUAUCGCUCUGCAUCGCUGCAGAGAGGAAAGUCCGAGCUCCAACGGGUAAGAAGCUGGGUAACGCCCAGAGUAAGCAAUUGCUGGAAAGUGCAACAGAAAGUAAACCGCCUAUGUUUGAUAGGUAAGGGUGAAACAGGGAGGUAAGAGCUCCCUCAUUGUCUACGCAAGUAGUGAUGCGGUAAACCCCUUCUGGAGCAAGGCCAAAUAGGAAAGCGCUUUAAGAGUGACCCACUCUUGGUUUUCGGGUAGGCCGCUGAGAUGAAUGAUAGCCACCUCUAAAAGGUACAGAACUCGGCUUAUCGACCUACUUCCCUU